AAGAGGCCCGAGGCAAUAGAGACUGCUAAUCCCUGCUCCCACGGUUAAACUCCGUGGCUCAUUC
This 64-nucleotide transfer RNA is filed under the name Cranoglanis bouderius. Its description in RNAcentral is "tRNA-Ser". The record is from RNAcentral. Lineage: Eukaryota; Metazoa; Chordata; Actinopteri; Siluriformes; Cranoglanididae.